UACGUAGGGCGCAAGCGUUGUCCGGAAUUAUUGGGCGUAAAGAGCUCGUAGGCGGCUUGUCACGUCGGGUGUGAAAGCCCGGGGCUUAACCCCGGGUCUGCAUUCGAUACGGGCUAGCUAGAGUGUGGUAGAGGAGAUCGGAAUUCCUGGUGUAGCGGUGAAAUGCGCAGAUAUCAGGAGGAACACCGAUGGCGAAGGCAGGUCUCUGGGCCACUACUGACGCUGAGAAGCGAAAGCAUGGGGAGCGAACAGG
Molecule: ribosomal RNA, 253 nt
Filed under: uncultured bacterium
Lineage: Bacteria
Description: partial 16S ribosomal RNA
Rfam family: Bacterial small subunit ribosomal RNA
Source: RNAcentral